UAGAGUAGAGAGGCUGUUUCCAAAUAGACCCUCGGCAUCCUUCCCUCCAAGAACUUCCCACCUUGCUCUCGGGGAGACUCGAACUCACAACCUCUUAGUUGGAAGUGGAGGUUGCUUACCUCCAAUACCAAUACUUGAUCCUUUAAAAAAAUAUAAAGAAGUUUAGGAAUUUGCUUUACUAAAAAAGUUCUGAAAAAAUGAUUAGUGACUCGGAGGAGGCACUGGCACAUGAAUAGGUAAUUAUUAAUUGGCACGGUGUCAACAUCACUAAAAAUAAGAGUACUUUCCUUAGGAUGGUCAUCAAAAAAAGAAGGAAAAAUUUUGGCGGGCUAGAUCGUGUAAUGCUGCUUUCUAUCAGUAAAGCUUCUUAGGUUUCGACCUAGCCUAACUGAAGCUUUGAUACCAUGUUAAAAAAGGGAGAAGACCUCUUAUUGAAACGAUGAUUAACAAUGUACAGGACGGACUAGUUAUAUAAGAGUCACAGGCUAUGUUGUAUUUCAUAGGUUAUGAUUCUCUAUCGCUUAUAUACCGAAUGUUUUACAAUUUUUAAUAUAUAUUCUAUAAUAUUUUACUUACCUUUAUUGCUUUUCUAUACCUGUAAUACUAGUGCAUUCUCAUAUUUCCUAUUCUUAGAAUUCUAAUAAUUACCUGCUGCCUUUUUGCUUUGUUUAUCUUUUUGCGGACUGUGGUUACUAUUUUUCUUUACCUAGAUUCUCCUUUACUGUAUUUCUUUAUCUAAACUUCUGUGAUAUUCUUUUCUUGAGUUGAGGGUGUCGGAAAUAAUUUCUCUAUCCUUACAAGGUAAGGGUAAAGUUUGCGCACAAACUACCCUCCCCAGAGCCUAUUUGUGUGAAUAUACAGGGUAUGUUAUUAGAAACAUUUAGAAUCUAGGCACAGAUAACUUUAUCAGUUCUCUCAGCUUUCAACUUGUUUAAUGACUUGAUUUGAAUGUUUAUAGACCAAAGUCUGUAUGCUAAAUGUGUGGCAAGAGAUGUGAAGGGGCAAUCUAAGCAUUUCCAGAGACCUUGCCCUUAUGCUGAUAAGAUACUAACAUGUAAAUGUUCUUUUGAUUUAUGCCACAUUCUAGUAUCUAGUUUUCCAUUUUGUAAACAUGACAUGUUUCAUGCAGUUCUUGAAAAUUAUUUUACUGUUCUCACUCAGAUGGUAUUUUUCCGAAAAGUUGAGUAAUGUUGUAUUUAUUGAAAACCAAUUUUUUUUGGUGUCCGGUCCAACUUGUACGCACCUCGAUUAUUCGACCAUCUACUGGCUACCUCCCACUAGGUACCGGGUAACUCAAUAGGCAGAUGGGUUUUGUGAAACUGAUUUCUACGACUUCUCAAUCUGAGAAAGAGAGGACUUGGGAUAUUUAUUUGAAAACUAACACCAUACCAGUAUAUUUUGAGUGCAGUGUUCCCUUCUCAUUUUUUGUUUGCGUUAAAUGCUGGUUAUAAAUUCUGACUAUCUCUGUUAAAAUUAAAGGACCUAUUCAUCUGCACUGGCCAUUUACAGGAAAGCUUGAAGAUCUCCUUGAUUGCUUUCCUAUGAUUACCUAUUUCUCUUAAGUGGGCAAGUGUGUGUAGAGGAGUACUGGAUCUUUUCUGUUUCAUAUACCAUUUUUUCCUUCAGUGGAAGCUAUAUUUCUGCCAGUCAUUUUUGCUUGACUCAUAUUUGGAAGUUAUUAGUAACCUGAAAGGUUGUCUUGUACAUUUUAAAAAUAUUUUGGUAUUUUUUGAUAUGCUAUACAUACAGUUAACAAACAUGAUAAUUAUGUCUAUCCAACUGAAUUUAUUUUCACUUUGAAGUUCUAUGCUUUUCUCUUAACAGAAACAAAUUUCAGUGUUCUAAAUGUGCCUCUUUGAACAUCAUUUAUUGGUCAAUAACAUUAAAAGAUCGAAACAUGGGUUAGUGGCAUUUAUCUGGUCAGUAACAGGAACACUUACUGGUGAGCUGCAUGUUCCAGAAGCUGGAAAAGGUGCAAAUUGCUCUACAGUCGGAGCAGAAAGCUCGUGAAGCUCUCAAGGGGAAACAUGUAGCUGCUGUUUCAGAGCAAAGACAUUACAAUUCUAUCUUAAAAGCUUUCCAGGUAAGGUCUCUACUGAUAUGAUCUCAAGAGUAUAAAUCUAAAAGUUGUAUUUGUAAAGGAAUCUUAAAACUUGUUUCAUUUUUACUUAUUGUUUUCUUGAGAUGUUGCACUUGGACAACGCAUAACGUCUAACUGACUCGUUGAGGGACACAUUCAUCUGCACUUCUAGAAUACAUCCAGCUAAAGUUUGACUCAUUGGUAUUGAGGGACACAAUGUAUAAACAGAAUAGCAUGUGGAUGACUGCAGCUUUUUAUCUCUGUAGCAGUGGGCGGGCCUGCUGGGUAAGAAACGGGCAGGUUUCAUGCGGGUUUUAAAGAAAAGUAGUCUAUCUUCCCAGAAGUGGUGUUGUGGUGCAACAGUAAAGUUGUCUUCAUAUGAUCUAUCAGUCAGGGGUUCGAGCCGUAGGGGUUCGAGCCGUGAAAGCAACCAUUGAUGUUUGCAUUAGGGUAGGCUGUCUACAUCAUACCCCUUGGGUGCGGCCCUUCCUUGGACCCUGCGUGUAUGCGGGAUGCCUUGUUCAUCGAGCUGCCCCCUUUUUUUACUCUAUCUUCCCACUCAUAUUCUUCCACGCCAAGUGUGUGUUAUAGUUGCUCCUCUAAUUAUAAUAGCUUAAGAACACUUGUACCACAGCACACAGGUAUUAUACAAGAACUUAAUUCAUCAAGAACCUUGGGUUUCUUUUGGUGCUGGGGGUCGUUGGUACGGGUACAAAUUCUUGCUACUGCUGCCUUCUGGAAUAUAUUUGCCCACAGACACUUUUAGCAAAUUUUUCUGCUCAUCCUACUUCAUAGUUCAGCUUCUCUAGACUGUGAAGCACUGGCGAGUCUGCCUUAAUAGCUACUUAAAAACUUAAGAACGUUAGUGUCUGUGAAUACCGUAAAACACUCAUUUCUAAUUUUUAAUGCAUUCUCGUAACAUUAUGUUAUGGCUCAAACAGUACUUUGUUUUAGUUGUUGGUGGCUCUUCAAUGAGAAAAUGUGUGCUUAUGUUGAUGUGAUAACACCCAUAUGUCAUGUUGACUCCACUUGUUAAUGGCUCUCCAACGAGCAAAAGUGCACUGAUAUUGACUUGAUUACACCCUUACAUCAUCUCCUGUGCUUAGAAAUUUAUUCUUUUAGAUUUUUGGGGAAGAAGAUCUGAUUUGGUGAGUCUGUUUUUUCGAAUAGCAGGAGAGGCAAUGUUGUGAAACGUGGAAAUUGUUGAGAAGAACAUCUCUCUCUCUUCUUUUUCAUUUUCUUUUGAUUAGAGUUGUCCAGUUAUAGAGCCCAUUCUAGUUUAACAGUCGUAUCAAUGUGAAUGUUCAGUUCAGAUAUACUACUUUUGUCAGCAGCAAAUGAGUGGUUCCUAAUGAUAUACUUCUGUUAUUUCCAGGUGGAAUGUGCAAGGAAUGAGAGACUUCGCGUGCAGAAUUCACAAGAACAUUUACCAAGUUGAUAUUUUUGUCUGGUCGAAGAAGUGUUUCAUUCUACAAGAAAUCCAACGGAUGGAUACUGGGUUUGGGUACCUUCAAUUGUUUGUAUUAUUUAUCUUAUUAUACUAUAUUAGAAACUUAUUUACUCUUGCUAGAGAAACAUCUUAAUUACAAUUUGAUGUAUAAACUUCCCAAUUAUAUACAAUGUAAUGAUUGUAAAGUAUCCCUUGAUUAUAGGGCAUUGGUAACCGAAUCCCACGCCUUCAGCUAACAUACCUCUCACGAUGGAGAGCCCCUUGCCUCGCCUUUUUGCACCUAUCCUUCUUGCUUGCUUAUCUAUAGCUCUCUUGUCUUAGUGACUCUUCUCUUUUCUAGGUUUUUUUCUGAGUGCUAAAACGAUAGAUUUUUCUUUUGCCAAUGAAUUGGAUCCGCCCCGAUUCGAUCCUACCACGCUCUUAAAACCUUGUAAAUUCGCUUUUCUUCAAUGAGAAUAUAAAGAAAACUAGCAAUUUUGCUCCCCAGUCCCACUUGGUGUUUGAGCACCACCACAUUCACUGGUUUUACACAACAGAAUGAAUUCGCCAAUUCGAUGCGAUACAACAUCUCUCAGCAAUCACAUCGGUAAUCACGUCCCAAAAAUUACCCAUGUAAUCAAUUUCUUCCCCUUUCAAAAGGCUAGUUUUCCACACGUGUAUUCUUAGCAUUCUUUAUUUUUCGCGUAGCAAAACUAAUACUUCCUUCGUUUUAUACUUUCCUUUUUAGUCUGUUCCAAAAUAAAUGACACAUUUCUAAAUUUGGAAAUAAUUCAGCUUUAAACUCUUCAUUUUACCUUUUUUACCCUUAGUUGAGAAGCUUUUAUAGCCAUAAAAAUGGUAUGGCCCCAUAAACCUUUUACCCCUUAAUCUUUUAAAAUCACAAAUUUUAAAAGUCUUUUUCUUUUUUCUUAAAUUCCGUGCCGAGUCAAACUACCUCAAACAAUAUGAAACGGAGAGAGUAUUUUAUUACUUAGACGGGAUACAUAUACCAAAGUAUUUGAGUUUAACCCAAAUUUAUAGCGUACAAGAAAGACGCACCGUUUUUGGAUGUAGAUAGUUAUAAUAUGUUAAAUAUUACAUGUUGUCUUUUUCAAUUUAAAAAAAUUGUAAUCAUAAUACACUAUAAAGAACGAAUUAGUUACCAUCUUUCAGAGAAACCAACCCCUUCUCUUCAUUUCUAGCUCACGAAUCUUCACUAACGCCACAAAUGGAGAUGGUGGUCUUCAUCAUCCGUGAACCUUCAAAUUGGUAGGAGCUAAAUCUAGUGAUUAUUUUAAUUCCGACUGUCACGAUCCAAAAUUUUACUAGGUCAUGAUAGCACUUACCCCAAUCCGCUAGGUAAGUCCAAUAGUAUAAGUCAAUAUUAUAACAAGAAACAAACUGAGAUAAUGAAUAAAAUAGCCAAAAGAGUUCAAUACUAUUAUUUUAAGGAUUGAUAGUAUAAGUCACGUGCUACUAUGAAUAAGAGAUUAAGAGUACAACUCCAGUUUGAAGAAAUAUAUCACAUGUUUGAAAUUUACAUAAAUAGAAAUAUAAAUUCUAAACUAACAUGAAUAAAUGGUAGCUUGUAUUUGAAGUGUUGUACGACUUCAAUGCCAGACUGUCGAACUUUGCAGUUGCUCAUCUCCGAAUAUUUGCGCGCAAGAUGCAGAAAUGUAAUAUGAGUAUAAUCAAUCCCAUGUACUCAAUACGUUUCUUGAAUAACCUCAGUAAAAUAGUGACAAUGUUUUUAAGUCAAAAGAUAUUCACUAAGAUAACCUGUGCAGUUAAAUUGCAAUAGAGAUAACAAUUGAAAAUAACAAUGUGGAUGACAAGAACAAAUAGAGAAAUAAUAAAAUGAUUAGCUAAAAUGAAUAACGAUUAGGUUCCUCAGUAUCACAACCAACCCUUUUCUUAACAAUCCGAGUGGAGAGGUUAAGACAAUAAGCACUAAAACAACAUAGUUAACUCAUGAAUAUUCAUAAUAAGAGAAAUGUGUUCAAGAUAACAAAUCCAAUUGCACGGCAACACUUUUCCUGCAUUUACUUCAUGCGCACCAAACAUAUGCAUGUAUAUCAAAUCAAAUGACACGACAACACCCUUCGUGCAUUUAUGUCAUCCUCACCAAGCAUAUGUAUAACAAGGCCAACCGGGUAGAAGGAAUACCAAUAACAGUAACAACGAAGUAGAAGGUACACAUACAUCAAUAAAGAAUAAGGUAGAAACACAUGGAGAAUGGUAACAGACAAGGCAGGAGGCAUAGAAGUAACGAUAGCAAACAAGGUAGGAGAACAUAGAUUUCAAUAACUAAGAAGGUGGACGGUUUAGAUAAAACAAUGAAUGAGCAAAAGGAAUAGAUAUUAAUAUAACAAACAAGAAAGAAAGCAUGAAUAUAACAAUAAUAAACAAAUAGAAGGCAAGGAUAGAACAAUAACAAAUAAGGUAGAAGGCAAAGAUGAACUACAACAAGCAAUAUAGAAAGCAUAUGUGCAACAAUAAUGAUGGCGUUCAAAUCCACAAAUAAAAAGUAAAUGGAUAUGGUUGAAUUCAGUAUAAUUUACCUAACCGUCCAAAGGUAACAUUCAUGGUCCAACAAGAAGUUGCAUCACAUUUAAAUUUACGCGCAAUAUAUGUUCAUAUUGCUCAUUUGCAGGUAAACUGUCUUGCAACGGCCAUAUCAGCAGGUGCGAUCUUGCUCCAGUUCCUACAACCUACUAAACCUUAAACAUCUUUCUCAACCUAAAUAUCGCGUUCACGAAAGAUCUCCAUCGACAUAUUCCAAUAAUGGAUCCUGAACUAUAUAUAGUCUGAUUCCUGUAAGACCAGGGAUAUGUAGGCAGCUUAGGAACCAAAGCUUAAUCAGAAUUCUUCAAAUCAUUUCAUUCGGUCAAAAUUGGUCAUCGUAUCUUUACACGAUAACUUUUUCAUCCUUCCCAGGUAAAGAGGGCAGCUGUUGAUACCUUAUUUUUUCAAAUGUGUUUUAUAUAUGAAAUAUUAUUCAAAAAUAGCAUGUACAUGCUUAAAUAAGCAUGUCCAAGAGUUUUGGUAUGUUUUCUAAUUUUUUAAAGAUUUUAAAAUCAAUUUACUGUCCAUUUUAGCAGUACAAAAUCCAAUAAUUAUUCCCAAGAUAAUCAUUUUUGGUGUAUAAUUUAUUUCUAUUCUCAUAUUUACACCAAAAUAUAAUUAAGGUAACUUUUUUAUAUUUUUAAAAAUUUAUUGGGUACCUCUAAAUCUAAAUUGCAUAUAAUUACAAUUAUAGCCUAUUUUACGAUUAAUAUUAUUUUAUAAUUAUAAAACUAUUUCCAGUAUUUUUAGAUUAAUAUUUGUAUUUAUUUGUUGGCUCAGUGUUUUUAAUUUACUAUUAAAAUUAUUAUUACUAUUUUUAUAAACUAAAAAGGGAAAAUUGGAUAUUUAACAUUUAACCCAUUUCUAUUUCAAUCACAGCCUCACUUCCUUUCAAUUUUAACCUCAAUUUGACCCCAAUUCUGCCCCAAAAUUAAAACCAGUCCAAUUCUUAAAUUACCCAACCCCUGACCCGAUUUAAAAACCCACCCAACUCCCCUUUGAUCCUGGCCGUUGAUCAUUUUGAUCAACGGCCGUAAUUCUUCCUUUCCUUUUUAAUUCUCAAACCCCUUUAACCUAACUAAUUCUAUCUAAGAUGUCGCCUUUGAAACUCUUCGUCUCUCAAACACUCUCUAACCACUAUGAAACCUUAAUCAUCUCCUACCUUAUUCUAUCGUGUUUCCAUCGGAAUCCAUGGCGUUUCAGGCCAUGGAUGGCCUGUACUCACCCUCUCUCACUAUUAGAUCUAUGUUGUUCGAUGAUAAGAAGAACUACUUUGAUGGUUCUAUUCAGACCUUCUCAAAUCUGUAGAUCUAUCGCUUCUCCGCCAUUUUCUUGCAUGUUCAAGCAAUAUGUGUCUUUUCGACUCAGGAUCUGACUUUCCGCAAGACCUUUCUCCUUUCUAGUAUUUUCGCUGCAACUCUAAGCUGUCUGAGGUUCUGUACUCGCCUAUUUUCUUAGAUCUGUGAUAUGUCUGGGCUUUGGUUGACAUUUUAUUAAGGGUUUUCCCAAAAUUCCUUUUCAAAAUCAUUUGGGUUUGAUUUUAGGGUUCUGAAAAGGUUUCAUCAAAUAUAUUUUUGAUUUUUCCUAUUCUUUCUUUAUGUGUGUCUUAGGCCCUUAUGUUUUCCUUUUACAAUACAUGAGCUUUCUUUCUUGUUUCUUUUCUAUUAUGCAAGACUCUUCUAUUCUUUUGUUACUCUUAUGCUCGCAUGUUAACUCGUGUUGCUAAUCCUUAUUCUUUGCUAUAUGUGUUUAUGUUUGAGUUCUUUAAUUUUUUUCACUUUACUGAGUUCUGUUUAUGUUCCUGCUAAGCAUAUUUUCUCUACUUAUGCUUAAAACUCGUAUCAUCUAUUUCUUUUGAACUUGUUUCAACUCCGAGUUUUAUCAAACAUGGUCUCAUGACCUUGAUUCAGUGUUCUUUCUAUCGUGUGUGUUUGUCUCUCAUAUGUCUUUGGAGAAGACUUCUAAGCCUCUUCUAAUGACCUGUUUUCUCACCUCUAUGUUUGACUCAAUUUGAAACCCUAAGAUUUGGGAUUUCUUGGGCAAGUGGUAUUAAGGUUCCACUUUGGGACCCUAGGCUUUCAGACUCACUGUGAGUUUGUAGCUGCACUUGAAUCCUUUUUUCUUGUGACUCAAAGUCUUGCAAUGUUAUAUCUUUUUUAAGUAACCUGAUUAUUCCUUUUGUUUGAUAUGUGUGCUUUAUAUAUGAGAAAAAUUCUUCUUUCAAAAAGGUUUUCACCAACUAAGUGAUUGAUUCCAAAAAUCCUUUUAAUAAGGCUGACAAAUUGUCACUGAUUUUUCUUUGAUUGAACCUCUUUUACCUUUCUUGACUUGAUUCUUUCAAUUUGGACUUGUAAUUUUAGUUUCAUGGUUGUUUGAUUGAUUCCCUUGCCAUAUUUGGCACAAACCGUGUACUAUAGAUUGUUUUCCUUAAAUAAAUUCUAUGUAUUUACCCCUUUUCUGCUACUUUAAAAAGUAUUAGUUACAAACUUCUUUCCUUAACUAAUUUUUACACAUUGGAAUCAGAUUCCCUUAACCAAAGGGAGACUGAUUUGAAUGAUAUUUCCUUGCCUUUCUUAUUUGUUUCUCUGUACUAUAAAAGGGACUGCCCUUUUGUACUUUUAAGACACCUUACACCUUAUAACUCCAUAUUUAUACUUCAAGUUCAAUACACGACCUUCACACUUCCAAUCAUUAAACCUUCAAUUCAACACUUGCAGUACUAUUUUGAAUUCAAUACUCUACUUUGCUUGAGAUUUUUUUGGAAUCUGAUUUGCUUUCAACUUGGCUUUUUAUAAGACUACAGUUUUACUUGCUUUUCUCCUGAAACUGCUAUGUUCUAGUUUAACUUUCCUGCCUCACCCCUAUGUGUUUACCUUACUGUUCCAACAUUCUUGCUUGCUUACUGCUCAUGCUCAAUGAGUUAUGCUGAGUAUGUUCUUUUCUAGCAUCUAUUUCUGUUGUGAAUCCCUACCCCUAUUCCCUUCUAUGUGUUUGAGUUAAGGUUCUUGGCCUGGCAGCAUCCAAAUUACUGCCCAGGCCAUAACCUGAUCCAUAGUGGAUCCUAACUCCUAAGUUUGGCUAAUAGGCUGGUCAGGGGUGUGCCAGUAUUCCCAAUUGCUAGGCAUGACCACUCGCCUGCCACGGCUUAUCCUGAUUCCUCCCUUUAUGAACUUACACUUACUCUUACAUUCUACGUUCUCACCCCUCUUAUGAGCCAUGCUUUGGACCCUGAGUUCCCUCCUAACUUGGACAUUGAGGGAUCACUCUUCCACACUGUACUAUAAUCUUAUUCUACAAUGUGUUUGGGUGUAAGCACUGCCCUGAGUCCCUUUGAGACUCUUGGGAACUUUGACACAUCCCAAAUAAGAGAAAGGCUUUUGGAAAAUGGAUCCUGGAAGUUGUUUUAUCAAAUAUUAUUAGACCUUGAGCAUGAAUUAGGCUGUUUGGCUGCAAUUGGAAGUUCUGAUGUAUUUUUUUCAUCUUUCUUGAUUCAUCCGGGUCUGUAAUAAUUUAUAAUAACUAUGGGGUUUCUACUGAAAAAGGGGAGGGUCAUUUAUGUACGCAUAUGGGUAGACAUCAUGCUCAUAGGGAUUACUAUUUACCAAUUCUGCAUAUUAUAUAGUAAUCCUGCCUAUAAGUCGUCUCAUUAUUGCAUUAGAAACCAUGCCUAUAAGCUUCUGCAUAUAGAAAUCAUGUAUAAUUUUCUGCACUUACACAUUUAGAAAUCCUGUCUAUAAGUUGUUUCGUUGUUGCAUUAGAAACCAUGCCUAUAAGCUUCUGCAUAUAGAAAUCAUGAUUAUAGUUUUUGUUUCUUCAUAUUCAUCUAUCAUUAGGAAAACAUAGGUUUAAUAAUAAUAAAUCAACAUCAUUCUAGAUACCAUGCCUAUAGGGUUCCUGCACUUACAUAAUCGUUGUAAAAUCAAUCACGCUUAUAAGUCAUGCCUAUAGGAGCAUCCGUCUGAAUCAGAUUUGUCUAUUGUAUCUAUAAGUCUAAAAUCAGUAGUAAUGUUUGUUUAAUAUCUAAAGAGUUUAAGUGGUUUUUAAAAUCAGUAACCCUUCUUUAAAAUCAGUAUACUUCCACCUAGGCAAGCAGUAGGUAAUUGUUUAGCUGUGUCAGUUUUAAGAAACUACAACAAGACAAGGCCUAAUUCAAACUCCUCGCCUGAGAAAUAUGCGAUAAAGUAGCCCGUCGUAACGCUUUUAAAUUUAGUUCAGACCAUAACCAGUAUUUGAAGUCAUGCUAUAUAUAUUUGUCUUUAAGUGAAGAGGCAUGUUUGAGCCUUAACUGUUGUUUGUUUUUUCCCCUGAUUGCUUAUGUGUUUUGUUUAUCGCCUAGACUUUUAUCCUUUUAAAUUCUGAAACACCAAACUCCCUCCUCCUUAGGAUUAGUACUCCCAAAAGCCUUCAGGACUUAUAGGAUUGGGGCGGGUAAUAGCAUGCAAUAAGUAACGAUAUUAUUCUGCGCUUUAAUGCCUUAGCAGGGUGGGAAGGGUAGAUAUGAACAUGAUGACCGAUGCGUUAAUAUUAUGCGCAACCCCUCUUCUAAGGAGAUUGCCGGGUAUUGCAUUGAUGUGAUCCAUAUUAAUUAUAAACCUAGUACCUCUUUCCCUUUAGUUGUUUAUGUUCAUUUUCAUAAUUGUUUAAACCACUUCCUCAAAAUUUUUGCUUUCUUUAUUUCAAACUUUCAGCAUUAUGUAUAAAUUCCCUUCUAUUUGAGAUCUCUAUUUCCUUAAUUGUUAGUUAAAGUAUCAAAUGUAACAUGGUCGGAACCACACUUGUGGAUCUUGGGGGAUGCCUAACACCUUCCUCUCGAGAUAAUUUCUAGCCCUUGCCCGAACUCUUGUUUUCCAACUCAAACCCUUCUUUAGUGUCCUAAUGCACUUUAAUCAUUAGGUGGCGACUCUUCAAUUCGAAAAACCUAAUUCCCAAGAGGGAACGAGUUGUCCUCCCAAAUGUCAUGAACCCAAUUUUGCCUUAGUAAAAUGGGGGACGCGAUACUGAGGCAAUUGUGGCCAUCUACCGAUCUAACGCUGAAGCCGCUCAAGCUCAAGCAAAUAAAGAUGAUGAUACUGCUCAAACUCGAGCAUACUAGAUCAUCGAGCUUGCCAUGUUCCAGUAUCGAAGAGAAACUCUUGAGGAGAUCCAUGCUCGUGGCUUCAAUCUCACUACCGAAUUUAAAGAUGCAAAAGAGCUUGAAGCUGAAGCCAAAGCAUUGGUCUAUUCUAACGAUGAUGACUCUAGGAGCAUGAGUGGAUCCGAGAUCAGAGAAGACUCCGAGAGUGAAGAUGUUUCCCCUGGAGAAGAUUAAGUACUUUUUGAUCUUCUUUUGGUUUUUUAUUCAUAGACUCUAAUUGGGCCAUGCUGCCCUUGUUAAUAACUUUGACAUAUAUAAAUAUCUCUCUUUAUUUUUUGUUCUGACUCAUGAAUUUGUGCUUCAUUUAUGCCUCAUGAAAAUUUUUCUUCAUAGGCUCGAGGUCUAGGCAGUUCGACCGAAUUUGCACAGUUUCUAUGUAGCGAGAAUCAGAAAUAAGGGAAUCCUAGGGUUUUAUUCGAAUGAGGACAAUCUUUCAAACUCGAGAGAAAAAAAUAACCCUUAGGCCUAAAAACAGUCCCCGGGUAAGAAUUUGUUUGAACUUGAGUUCAAGUAGCCCUUGGUCUUAAUGAUCGACUAAGGACAUGCUCAAACUCAUAAUUAGGGCUUUCUAGAAAUGAGAAGGAUCUCUCAAACUUGAAGUGAAAGUAUCCCUUAGGAAUUUUUAGAGUUUUGUAUUCUGCCGAUUUGGCCUUUGUAAAACGGUCGUGUAUAUAUAUUGCUUUUUCUAUUUUUUUUGGCUUUUAAAUUUUUCCCUUUAUUUAUCAUUUGCUUUUACAACGUUUAUAAUGUCAUAGCAUGAAAUAAUAAAGUCAUGUUCGAGGGUUCGAACAAUUAUGUAGCCGAUACGGUUUUUCAGGCUCAUCACUAUCGAAGCCCUUUGGAAUUUUGCCGAGGGUAGCCCUUUUAACCGGUUUAUGAGAAUAUUGGUUGUAGCCUUUAGCUUAGGAUUUUCUUCUUGGGCUUGUUUUACCAUUGCACUUCAAACUUGUUCGAAGUGUCAGUCCCCGAGUGGGGUGGUCGUGGCCUAUAAACAUUGAGGGUUGCCUUUUUAAGGUCUCAUAAUUUCAAGAUUUUAAUAAUUCAAACUCGUCUAUUUUUUAGACGGCAGUCCCAAGUAGGGGGUUAAUUGUUCAAACUUCGGCUGCGAUCGGCCCUUAAGCUUAUUUAAAUAAUAGAUCGAGUAUGAAAGUGUAAAUUAAAAUUUUUUUCUAACGCAUAAGAUAUUGUAAAGGAAAAAUACUUCUUUUAAUAGAUGAUUAUACAUGCGUACAUAAUUGAUGAUAGGGCUCGAGUAACCUAUAUCGACACGGGUCAUUCGACCGUUUGACCUCUACAAAAUUUACCUAUCGAUACCCUGAUGUCAUGUAUUAAUAUCCUUGCAACAAAGGUUACAUCCAAGGGUAAUUCCCUUGAAUUCGACGUUGAUUGUAAAGAAGCCUCGAAUACUGUUAAAUAAUUCUAAGUUAGCAUAAUCAAUGUUUGCCUUAUUAAAAACCUCACCGGAAAACCCAAUUAGGACACAACCGAUCUAAGGGAAAAAGAGUGUAAUGCAUGCUUUCAGACCUAAAGACUUCAUGUUGAAGGAUCCAUCACCGUUGCUUGUAGGAUCCCUUUCAGAUAAUAUCGAGGACUUUAUAUGGUCUUUCCUAGUUUGGACCGAGUUUUCCUUCGUUCAGGUUUCGAGUACUGAGGGUGUUUUUUCUUAGCACCGAUCCCCUAUUUUAAAGUGUUGAAGAUUGGUUCUUCAGUAGUAGUACCUUUCAAUUUGUUGUUUUUGUGUGGCCAAUCAAACGAGGGAGGCCUUGCGUCUUUGUCCAUCAGUUCUAGGCUUGUGUUCAUAGCCUCGUUAUUUGGUUCCUCUAUUGCAUAUCGAAACCUGAGGCUAGCUUCCCCGACCUCGACCAGGAUGAGAGCUUCGGCACCAUAGACAAAAAAGAAAGGUAUUGCCUCUGUGCCUGAUUUUGAUGUUGUGUGGUACGCCUAAAGCACCUCGGGCAAUAUCUCUCUCCAUUUUCCCGAAGCGUCGGCUAGCCUUUUCUUAAGAUUUUGAGUGAUAGUUUUAUUGGUCGGUUUGACUUGUCCAUUUCCAUUGGGAUGGUAUGGCGUCGAUAAAAGUCCUUUUAAUCUUGUGAAUUACUUUCCAUUGUCGCACAAAAUCUCGGCAGGCAUACCGAAUCGACAUAUAAUGUGGUCCCAAAUGAAGUCUAUGACUUCUUUUUCCCAGACUUUUUCAAAAGCAUGUGCUUCAAGCCACUUAGAAAAAUAAUCAGUCAUAAAUAAAAUAAACUGAGCUUUACUUGGGGCCAAUGGUAGAGGGUCGAGGAUAUCCAUUCCCCAUUUCAUGAAUGACCAUGGGAACAAGACCGAGUGGAGCUUCUCCUCGGGCUGACGAAUCGUCGAUGCAUUUCUGUGACAUUUAUUGGAUUUUCGAACGAACUCCUUUGUAUCAUUUCCAUAUUAGCCCAAUAGUACGCAACUUUAAUAACUUUGUAAACUAGUGAUUUGGCACCAGAGUGGUUCACACAAUAGCCUUCAUGAACUUCCCAUAGAACAUAAUCACUUUCUUCCGGUCCUAAAUAUAUCACCAAUGGUCCAUUGAACAUUUUCCUGAAUAGUAUUUCAUCUUCGACUAAAGUGAACGGUGAUGUCUUUGUGCGUAGAGUCUGACUCUUUCGAAUCUGAUGAGAGCUUUCCAUUCUUUAAGUAUUCAAUGUACUUGUUCCUCCAAUCCUAAGAUAAACUUAUAGAGUUUAUUUCUGCAUAGCCUUCAUCAAUCAUUGAUCUCGAGAGUUGUAUGACAGUCCCUAAGUUAAGCUCAAUAUCUCCGACCAAUGACCUCAAGUUUGCAAGGGCAUCAGCCUCGGUGUUUUGUUCUCGAGGUAUGUGUUGUAAGCUUCACUCUUUAAAUCGGUGUAAAGUUACAUGUAGCUUGUCCAAGUAUCUCUGCAUUCGAUCCUCUCGAACUUCGAAAGUUUUGUUGACUUGGUUUACCACAAAUAGGAAAUCACAUUUAGCCUCGAUAACCUCUGCUCCCAAACUUUUAUACAGCUCGAGACCUGCAAUCAUUGCCUCAUACUCGGCCUCAUUUUUAAUUAACUUCAAAGUUUCAUAGAAUUUCUAAUUAUUUUACCCGUGGGUGGCUUCAAAGUGAUACCCAUCCCGGACACUUUCACAUUCGAAGCACCAUCAAUGAAGAGGGUCCACACCCCCAAUGAUGUGCUCAAUUUUAAUAGCAGUUCUUUUUCUGCCUCGGGCACGAGGGCUAAUGUGAAGUCAGUCACGAAGUAUACAAAGAUUUGAGACUUGAUGGUUGUUCGGGGUUGAUACUCAAUAUUAUAUCCAUUAAGUUCUCCGGACCAUUUGGCCGAUCGCCCUGAAAUUCGGGUUUAUGAAAGGCUUUUUGAAAGGGAUAGGUAGUCACAACACAUAUUGGGUGACACUUGAAAUACGGUUCUUAUUUCCUAGAGGCGCUUAUCAAAGCAAAUUCUAAUUUCUCUAAGUGAGGAUACCUAAUUUCGACCUUGCCUAAGGUUCAACUAAAAACAUGGAAUUGCGUACCUUGUUAUUCUCGAACUAGGACACCACUUACCGUUAUUUUCGAGACCGCCAACUAUAAGUAGAGUUGCUCGUCUACUUUCAUGGUAUGAAGCAUUGGAGGGCUUGACAGGUAUCGUUUUGGUUCUCCUAAGGCUUGUUGGAAUUUCGGGAUCCAUGCAACAAUGCUCUUCUUCUUAAGUUGUGAGAAGAACCGGUGACUUCUAUCUGAGUACCUCGAGAUGAAUCGCCCGAGGCGGCUAUGUGCCCGGUCAGCCAAUGCACGACCUUCAAAUUAUCCACGACUUUGAUAUCCUCGAUAGCUUUCAUUUUAUCGGCGUUGAUCUCGAUCUCCUGCUUGGACACCAUGAAGACGAGAAAUUUUCCCCAGCUGACCCCGAAUGCACACUUUUCAAGGUUGAGUUUCAUGUUGUACUUCCUAAGUAUAUCAAAAGUCUCCUGCAAUCAGUAUAAACUUUCGUAUAUUUUCCUAACUGUUUUUCAAACAUUUGAUUUACUAUGUGUUGAUUAGUUGCACAAACAUUUUAUUAGGCCGAACGACCUCACGUUAUAACAAUAGGUACCGUAUUUAGUGACAAGUGAAGUGUUCUCCUAAUCCUAUGGGUUUAUAUGUAUUUGAUUGUACCCGGAGUAGGCAUCAAGAAAACUUAGAAUCUUGUGGCCAGUUGUUGCAUCGGUCAUUUGAUCUAUGUUCGACAAAGGAAAAUAAUUCUUAGGGCGGCCUUGUUCAAGUCAUAGUCUAUGCACAUUCCAAUUUUAUUUCCCUUUUGACCACCACUACGUCUGCUAACCAUUUAAGAUGUUUUACGUCUCGAAUGGACCCUAUUUUGAGAAGUUUGGUUACCUCAUCCUUGAGAAAUUCAUUUCUAACCUUGUACUGAGGCCUUCUCUUUUGCUUCACUGUUCGGAACUUUGAGUCCAAGCUUAAUUGAUGAGUAGUGAUCUCCAGUGGGAUGCUUGCCAUAUCGACAUGGUACCAAGUAAAACAAUCUAUGUUAUAUAAAAGGAAUUGAAUAAAUUUUUUUCCUAAGCUCGGGAGUUAACCCUGUGCCCAUGUAAUCCUUUCGAUCGGGUAGAUGCUCGAUUAGUAUGACUUGUUCUAGCUCUUUGAUUGUUGCUUUGUUGCAUCAAAAUCAUUGUGGAUUAUGAAGGUUCGAAGUAUCAUAUAAUCAUCAUCCUUGAAAGUUUCCUACUCCUCCGAUCGGGCCGAGGCCAAUGACUGUGGUUGCUAUUUCACUUCCUACUUUCCCUUCGACUCCAAUCCCUUUGCUGAAGAAAGCACCGAUACCAGUAUUACUUCGUCGAUUGCAAACAUUUCUUUGGUGGCGGGUUGUUCACCAUACACCAUUUUGAUUCCUUCUGAUGUCGGGAACUUCAGGACUUGAUUAAGCGUCAAGUCACGGCACUCAUGUUAUGUAUCGAAGGCAUCCCGAGCAGUGCAUUGUACCUCAUGUUGCCCUCAAUCACAUGGAACUUUCCGUCUUGGAAGGUCCCGACCACAUUUACGGGUAACAUAAUUUUCCCUUUGGUGGUUUCGCUCUCCAUAUUGAAUCCAUUUAGUACUCGAGCCACAUGCACGAUUUGAGCUUGGAGGCCGAGUUACGCUACAAACCUUGAUCGAAUAAUGUUUGUCGAGCUACCUAGAUAAAUUAACACACGUUUAACUUGAAUUUCGCUCAUAAGUAUAGAUAUUACCAAUGCGUCAUUUUGAGGUUGUCCGAUCCCUUAUGCAUCCUCAUUGUUGAAAGACAAGGUUUCUUCAUGUAAGUAGUCCCGAGUUUUCUUUUUCCUUGUGAUUGUCACCUUGGUGCAUUUAAAUACCGAUCCUUGAGGAACAUCGACUCCUCCAAUGAUCACGUGAAUAACGUGUUGUGGAUCUUCCUAUUCGUUCUGUUUGUUUGAAUCCCUAUUUGUGAAGUGGUUCUUGGCUCGAUCACUUAUAAAUUCUCGAAGGUGAACCUUAUUGAAUAGUCGGGCUACUUCCUCUCUAAUCUGUCUGCAAUCUUCUGUUUUAUGGCCACAGUGCCAUGAUACUUGCAUAUUUGGUUUGGGGUUCUCUGGGACGAAUCAUUCUGCACAGGUCGAGGCCACCUGGUAUUUUUGAUAUUCCCAAUGGACGAUACUAUGUUGAAAACAACUACGCUGAAGUUAUAUUCUGAAAAUCGAGAUGCUUCUUUGGACCCGCUAUCCCUAUCGAAACCACUUUUGCUCAUGAGCCCUCGCGAGCUCUAUCCCCGAUCAUUCCUUCUAUCAUUCUGAAUGGGGUUGCGCCCAAGCCUGUUAUUUCUUUAGUCUCCACCAUGUGGAUGAUAUCGGUCUCUAUUUGAUCGUUGUUCCCGAUCGACGUCCCUUUUAACUCUGUCCAUGGGUCUGUUAGGAUAAAUUGAACUGAUUGGAGCCCCCAGUGGUCGUCUUCGACCCUAAUAUUUGACUGAUAUCGAUUAUGUACAUCGGACCAAGUCGGUUGGAUAUUCAAUCAAAUUCUACUUUAAUUGUUGCAAAACUAUGGAACUCUGUUCUUGAGAACUUGAGGGAAGGCUUGAACAGCCCAAUCAUCGGAGACCGGUGUAAAAUCUAUCCAUUCCAUCUAAAAUCGAGAUACGAAUUCCCUGAGCAUAUCGUUAUCUUUUUGUCUUACCUUGAAUAAGUCCGACUUUUUAGUUGCAACUUUAAUGGCUCCAGCAUGCGCCUUUACAAAGGAAUCUGCAAGCAUAACAAAUGAAACAAUAGAGUUAGGUGGUAAAUUAUAAUACCAUAUCAUAGCACCAUUUGAUACAGUUUCUCCGAAUUUCUUCAGCAACACGGAUUCAAUCUCAUCAUCUUCCAAGUCAUUUUCCUUAAUGGCGCAUGUAUAAGAGGUGACGUUUUCGUUUGGAUCCGUUGUCCCGUUAUACUUCAGAAUCUCAGGCAUACACAACUUCUUUGGGAUCGGCUUCGGAGCUGCACUUUGAGGGAAAGGUUAUUGGACAAACUUUUUAGAAUCAAGUCCUUUCAAUACUGGUGGUUCUCCCGGCACCUGGUUGACACUGGAGUUAUAAGUUUCCACCUUCUUAUAAUUUUCCUCCAUCUUCCUUUCCCCUGUGUCCGCUUCUUCAGUUCCUCGAGCAUUUUUACGAUGGCGGGAUUAGUCUCCGAUUCUCCUUCAUUCAAUCUCUUUGGAACUGAUUUGGCUCUAUGAACAAUUUCUAGUGAUGGAUCGAGCUCGAUCCUUCUUCGUGCACAAUUCUGAUUUGCAGUUAUGCUAUUGCAGCUUGUUGAGUCUGCAACAUCUCGAAUAUCAUUCGAAGGCUAAUUUUGGCUUCCUGACCGCUCUGUGCAUUCUAACCGCCAUUGAUUUAAUCUGUUCCGAGAUUUUUGCCAUUAUCCUCGACCACUAACGAAUAUCUCCUCUUUCAGUUACUAUACUAUCUUCGAGCUUACUCGAUGCCUAUCUUGUUUUCCUCGAUCAUCAUCGGUCUCGAGCUUAACAGGUAUUUCGAAUUCCGAACUUGGUGUCUUAUCCUCAUACCUCGGUCUGUUAUUUUAUGGGGCCUAUCCUCGAUUUAUCCUCAUGGUCUCGGUCAUUUAGUGAAAUCGGGUUGGGCCGAUUUUAAUAGUAUACAAUCUUCAAACCAAACUUCACCCAAAUAAAGAUUUUUAAAAUAAAUUUGGGAAUCUAUGGCUAAACGCUAGCAUAUAGAAUAUUCCCUUGAAAUUUUAUACGGAAAUAUGAGGACCCGUUUGACCAUAAGUUUUACCAAAAUUUAUUUGGGUUUUUUUUGUCAAAUACAUGUUUGUUCAAAAAUUUUAUCUAUAUUUUGGCAAAUUUCCAAAAUCAAAACUCAAAUCCUAAAACAGCUCGCCCAAAAUAUUAAUAUUACAUUUUUUAAAAAUCGCCUUAAACUUUUAUAUUUUAUAAAAGAGCCCACCAUUUAUUAUUUUGUAACAAUGCUGCUUUGUCUUCUCGGUCAUCUGAUAGUAUAUUAUGUAGUUCAUUAUAAAAAUUUAUUUAUGGUUUGUGAUGAUAUAAUGAAUGUUAUUAAUGAAGGCACUGUUGCACAUUUGUGAUAGUUUUUAGAACUUGUGGUUAUAAGUUAUAUUUGAUAUUUUUUUUAAAAAUAAAAUAAAAUAUUCGGAGAAGGGUCACAUAUGCCCCUAGACUAUACGUUUUAAAUCAAUAAUGCCGUUCAUCCACCUAUUGGGCCAAAUAUGUCCUUCCAUUAAUGUUUUGGCUCACAAAUGUUAUUUGAGGUAACGGAGGGACACAUGUCAUUGUCCUGUUGGUCCAUUCUAAAGACCCAUUAUUCAUACCCGAAAAAUAUUUUUCUAAUGUUAUUUUUCUAAAACUUUUUUUUACUAAAAACUGAAGAAAAAAAAAAGGAUUUUCCCCACUUUUUACAAAAAAAGAGAUUUUUUACUAAAACAAUAUUUUUGUAAAAACAAAAAUAAAUCUAAAUAGUAAUUUUCUAAAGCAAUAUUUCUGUAAAAAUAUAAAAAAAUGUAGAUGUUUUUUUGCUAAAUUUUCCAGAUUUUUCAGUUUUUACAAAAGACCCAUUUUUUUCUAACUUUUUUUUUUCAAGUUAUUUUUUCAAUUUAGCAAAGCUGGAAAUUUUAAAGUUUCCGAUUUUACAAUUCAGGAGUGAUGUGCAUUUUGUUACUUUUAAUGUGGGCUCCCCAUUUUACAAUUCUGGAGUCAUAUAUUAUAUGCAUAAUAAUAUACAUAUAAUAUAUUUUUGUUUUUACAUUUUAUUUUGUUUUUACAAAAAUAUUAUUUUAGUAAAAAUAUCUCUUUUUUUUAUAAAAAGUGGGAAAAAAUCUUUUUUUUCUUCAGUUUUUAGUAAAAAAAAGCUUUAGAAAAAUAUUAUUUGGGUAUGAAUAAUGAGUCUUUUUAAUUAAUUAAGAAAAUUUAGGAUAGACCAAUAUAACAGUAACACGUGUCCGUAUGUUAACUCAAAUGAUAUUUGUGACCCUAAAACAUUAAUGGAAGAACAUAUUUAGCCUAAUAAAUAGAUGGAUAGCAUUAUUGAUCCAAAAAAUAUAGUUUAGGGGUAUAUGUGACCCUUCAAACACAUUUUUAUAAAAAGCCAGACUUUAGAAAUUUAUGGCCAAACGUUAGGUAAGAUUGUUGGGUGAUGAACUGGAACGGCGUUGUCAACUGCAGAUGAAUUCCAAUAACGUCGUCAUUACUUUUGUCGACCAGCAAAGCCAUUAGUUUUUAUGGUAUUUAAUUUGUUGUUUCCUUUUCUUUUCCAUCGAAUAAACUGGCCAUAGGAAUGAAUUCAAGUACCGGUUGGAUGACAUGGAGCCCAAGUUCAGCUUUCCUACCAAUAUCCAUGGGUUCUAGCUGUAAUAAUAGCAGGAUUUCCUGUCAUACACUUUGGAAUAUGGCGAGAAGGAGAAGGGUGUAUAUAACGGUGAAUACCAAGAAGAGAAGCGAACCAGUUUUCAAGCCUUCCGUUGUUGAAAAAGUUUCUUUGGUUGAUGAGGCUGAGGAUGAGCUUCUUCUUGAAGAUGGUAUGCAAUUUACUAGAAAUUAAGCAUUGUGUGUGUUUUUUUUUAAUUGUCUACUUUUGUUUGUGGUAUCUCUUAUCUAUUGACUAUUUAAGGAUUUGGAUUUCACAGCUUCGGCGAUUUUAUUCUAUUCUAACCAGUUGGUCUUCAUCUUGUUAGUAUAGAUUACCGCAUAUCCAUUAAAUUGUCUCUCUCAUGUUGUGACAAAUAAAGGCAGUGGGUGAAGCUUUGCUAUCUUGCCCAUUUUUCAGUUUGUAGUUUGGAUUCCACUGGGGUAGUUUGGUAGGAUGUAUAUAUUAGUGAAAAUAAAACAUGUACUCCAUCCAUUGCAAUUUGGAUGACAUAGUUUGGCUCGGCACGGAGUUUAAAAAAAAAGUCUUUUGAAACUCGUGAUCUUAAAAGCUUAAGGGGUAAAAGCUUUGUGGGGCCAUGACAUUUUUGUGGUUGUAAAAGCUUCUCAUUAAGAGUAAAAUAGAUAAAAUGAAGUGUUUAAAGUUGAGUUAUUUUUAAUUGUAAAAAUAUGUCAUUGUUUUUGGAAUAGACUAAUGAGGAAAGUGUGCCAUUUAAAUUGAAAUAGAGGUAGUAUUAGCUUUGGUAUUAUUAAUUCCUUGUUUGGCAGUGUUUUCAACCUCUCUAUACCUAAUACUUAUAUUAGAUAUACACCAUAUUCAACACUAUUCUUGUACAUAGCAAACCAUGACAUUAACAAUAUCAUACUCCCUCUGCUCCAAUUUAUGUGAACCUGUUUGACUGGGCACAUAUUGUCAAAAGCGCGCUUGAGGCUCAAAACAUGUUGAGCGCUUCGCUUUAUGGGCGUUUUAGUAUUGCAUCAAAGCUCUAAGGCAUACUAUUCCUUGCCAAUGGGUGUAAUUAAGACGACAUUAAACAAUUGAUAUUUUACUUUAAUGUAAUUUUUUUCAAUUUUUUUGUCCAUGUAUUUGUUAUUCAUACUUAUUAUUAUUAGUCUUGGACUACAAAUACAUAUUUUUAUUUUUUCUCCAGUUGCGCCUUUUUUCAUUAAAGACCACGCUUUACUUGUGCUUUGCACUUAAAGCCCCACCAGGCCUUAGAGCUUUUUUGCGCUUUUCGCCUUUGAUAACACUGGCACAAAGUUUAAGAAAAAAUAAAGACUUUUUGAAUUUGUGGUUCUAAACAAGUCAAAAAGGGGACCCAGAGUAUUUGUGUGGCUAUAAAGUUUCUCAUUAAGGGUAAAAUUGGAAGUUUAAGCUAAAUUAUUUUCAAAUUUAAAGGGGUCAUUCUUUUUGGAACGAACCAAAAAGGAAAUCGGUUCACAUAAUUGGAACGAAGAGAGUAAUUUUUAGCAAACAAGACCCCAUUUUGUGGAAUUAUUUUGGGUUGUUGUUGUUGUUUAGUACAUGGAUAAGUAUGUGUAAAGAUAGUACGUCCCUUUCAAAACCUUUAAUACACCAUUCCAAACUGUAGGUAAAAGUUAAUCCUAGCAUAAUUAAUCUCAAUAUUACUAAUCCCAACAAUAAAAGUACACCCUAUUCAGUAUUAUUCUUAUACACCUUACCAAACGAACCCUAAUUGUGUUAGGAGUCCUUUGGUUUGCGGACGAGUUAUACAACUAUUUCUAAUACAAAUACAAUGACUUUUAUUGGUUGAAUAAUAAUAUUGCAAGUCUUAAUGAAUAACGAUACAAAGAUUGUUCGUGAAAUAACUAUACAUAGUUAUCAUUUGGUGAAUAGUAAUGCAAUGAUUAUUAUGUAGGUAUAUGCGAUAACAACGUCAAUAAUUAGCUUUAAGGUUAUUACUGUCAUUUCAGGUGCUAGUACAUACUCCCUCCAUUUCAAUUUUUGUGAACCUAUUUCCUUUUUAGUCUGUGCCAAAAAGAAUGAUCUCUUUCCCUAUUUGGAAAAUAAAUUACCUUUAUGCAAUGAUUUAUUGCAACACAAAAAAUAUGUGCUUCAUUUUACACCACAGUUUAAAGUCUUCUCUCUUCUAUCUCCGUACCCAGCCAAAUGGGUUCACAUCAAUUGAAACGGAGGGAGUAUAUUCUUAUUCCAUAAUUUAUUCUGAGUAAAGUUAUACAUGGAUUCUUGCACAAGUAUAUCAGUAUCGGCAACAUAGAAUUUUAUAUUGUAAACCCAACAUUGCGGAGUAUUAUUUAUGCAUUAUUUUACAAAGUUUGCAUUAGUUUCUUUAAAUUAAAGUUUACAUUAGUAAUAGUAGUAAAUCAGAAUUUUAUGUAAGUAAUAGAUAAAGAUGUUGCCCAUAAGAUCAAAAUCGGAUGGUUGAAAUGGAAAAAUAUUACUGGCGUGUUAUGUGAUAUAAAGUUGCCCUCUAAAGUGGAAAGUGUAGAACACAUAUAAGACCUAGAAAGUUUCCCUCUAAAGUGGAAAGUGUAGAACAUAUAUAAGACCGACAAUGUUAUAUGAUAGUGAAUAGGCUGCUCGAGUCCAACAUAUCCACAAGAUAAGUGUUUCCAUUGAUGCGGAUACUAAGAUGGAUGUGCAGUCAUAGAUAAAAUGAAAAGUGAUCACGUUCGCCAGAAGGUGCAAGUAACACUCAUUGAAGAUAAAAAGAGAAAAGGUCACUUGAGAUGGUUUGGUCAUUUCUUGUGUUGCCCUACAUAGACAUAGGUGUGAAUCUAUCGUGGUAGACCUAAAAUCAUAUGGAAAGAAGUUGUCUCGAAAGACCUAAAAAUCAUUAGAAUCAAUGCAGACUUAGCUAAAGAUAGGGCAUAAUGGAAGAAAAUGAUUCAUAUAAGUCGGAAUAGGCUUUAACUUUAUUAGAGAAAUUAAUAUUAUUACGAUUACUAAUAUAUAUAUAUAUAUAUAUAUAUAUAUAUAUAUAUAUGAAAUUUAUUUUCACUACUAUUAUUUUGUUUUAGCAUGAUGACAAUAUGAGUUGAGCUUAAAGAUAGAAGUUAGGAUUCAGACCCUAACUUUAUUUAGGACUGAGGCGUAGUUGUUUUUCUUCUAUAGCAACCCAAAUGAGUUACUAAUUUGGUAAUAAGUUUUGUAUAAAGGAUAAGGAGUUAUUACUUUUCCAACUACAUACUUUUGUCUUCUCCGUUGCUCUACUUACCGAUAUAAAAAACUAUUAAUCAAGAAUAUAUAUGAAUUGCAGUAGUCCAUUGUGUGUCUGGAAGUCCAGACAACUGAAAUGGUCUUUCAGUUUGGCAAGUUUCUCUCAUGAACUUAUUUCCUUUCUGAAUUUAUUUCAGUAGGUGUUUCUCCAAGGAUGUAGUCUUAUCUGUCUGCUUCUACUACAUGAAAGAUACGCAUAACCUAUCAGCUUAACGUUUGAGAAAUUAAAAAUACACAGAACACUAAGAUCCUUCAUACAAGUCAAGAUUCUGUUAAAUUAUUGCUAUAGAAUCUAUUGCCUAAAAGUAAAUCCUUAUUGGCUAACUAUAAAGUUAUAAAAAUUAUCAAUUAAUUUGCUGACUAAAACAUCUCUAUUCUCUGAUGUAUCCUAAUGGAGUAUGCAGUCGACAAGAUAGUAUAUAUGCAUAUGGUAUUUUCCUUUUCUCUUCUUUGUGGGUAGUACAUGCAAAAAAAUUAUGCAGGUAAAUAAAAAGCAGUAUUAUGUGGUCGAAUAUUUUUUAAGGCUUCAGCUACUGCUGUCAUUAGCAAUUUGUUCUGCUGGCUCCUUUGCGACCAAAGCUCUUCUUAGGAAGAGGUUCCAAUGAGAGCUAAAAUAACAUUGUGAUCUGCUUCCUUCUACUGCAACAACAACAACCCAGUAUAAUCUCACUUAGUGGGGUCUGGGGAGGGUAGUGUGUACGCAGNNNNNNNNNNNNNNNNNNNNNNNNNNNNNNNNNNNNNNNNNNNNNNNNNNNNNNNNNNNNNNNNNNNNNNNNNNNNNNNNNNNNNNNNNNNNNNNNNNNNNNNNNNNNNNCAGGAACUUCCCACCUUGCUCUUGGGGAGACUCGAACUCAGAACCUCUCGGUUGGAAGUGGGGGUUGCUUACCAUCAGAGCAACCCUCUUGUCUUUGCUUCCUUCUACUGCAUAUUUGGUAAUUGUUUAUUUGACCUGAUCUCUAACUGUUAGAAUAUGUAAAUAGUAGUAAAAUAACCC
This 24261-nucleotide long non-coding RNA is filed under the name Nicotiana benthamiana. RNAcentral describes it as "long non-coding RNA (NBEN_LNC008945)". The record is from RNAcentral. Lineage: Eukaryota; Viridiplantae; Streptophyta; Magnoliopsida; Solanales; Solanaceae.